This 465-nucleotide ribosomal RNA is filed under the name uncultured bacterium. Its description in RNAcentral is "partial 16S ribosomal RNA". It matches the Rfam family "Bacterial small subunit ribosomal RNA", at positions 339 to 795 of the family's 1533-position model. The record is from RNAcentral.
CUACGGGGGGCUGCAGUGGGGAAUAUUGGACAAUGGGGGAAACCCUGAUCCAGCAAUGCCGCGUGUGUGAAGAAGGCCUGCGGGUUGUAAAGCACUUUCGGUUGGGAGGACUGCUUCUAGCACUAAUAUUGUUGGAAGUUGACGUUACCUUCAGAAGAAGCACCGGCUAACUCCGUGCCAGGCAGCCGCGGUAAUACGGAGGGUGCAAGCGUUAAUCGGAAUUACUGGGCGUAAAGCGCGCGUAGGCGGCUAGAUCAGGCGGGUGUGAAAGCCCCGGGCUUAACCUGGGAACUGCAUCCGAUACUGUCUAGCUUGAGUACAGGAGAGGAGAGUGGAAUUCCACAUGUAGCGGUGAAAUGCGUAGAUAUGUGGAGGAACACCAAUGGCGAAGGCAGCUCUCUGGCCUGAUACUGACGCUGAGGUGCGAAAGCGUGGGAGCAAACAGGAUUAGAUACCCCAGUAGUC